This is a long non-coding RNA of Culex quinquefasciatus (southern house mosquito), 930 nucleotides long. RefSeq lists it as uncharacterized. The transcript has 3 exons. The record is from RefSeq and is a predicted model, not a curated record. NCBI's taxonomy places the organism in Eukaryota, Metazoa, Arthropoda, Insecta, Diptera, Culicidae.
CGGAGGAUCUCACGCUGGUUGCGGCCUGUUGCGGCCAAGGAAGGUGAUUUGGACACGACGGAUAACCCACAUUCCGAUGACGGCCAGCUGUCACGACGUUGCAUCGAGUACAACCGAUCCUGAUGAUAUAGCUUUUGCUGGAUAACGGCACAAAGGUGCACGCCUCAGAUAAAGACGAUCUGUCCGCCAAGGCUGGAACUAGCUCUGUCAACCUGAACGUGGCCGAUUUGUGAAAAUUUACCUCGCCGCAGUACGCGGCCAUAAUGGAAAGUCCGCAAACUGUUGAUCAAGUGAUGGCGCUGGAGUGCUCAAUGACCGAUCGGCUGAGGAGCAUCGUCUCAAGAAGGAAAGCUUGGUAUACGUGCAUUUGUUUUUCCUAUGUUGUUCACACAUGGCACCGAACCGUUAUGUAGGACCAAGAUGCUCAAACGAGUCUGGAUCUGGUUACCACCGACGAAACCUUCACGAUACCGGAGUUACUAUGACGCUGUUGGUCUCAUUUCUUCAGAUCCUGGCUGCUGCCACCUCCGUCUAGUACGUGUCGCCGAAUUGAAACUCGACGGUUUAGUGCUUCAAACCAACGACUAGCUGUCCGCCUUCCUCAGAUGGAUGAAUUUAUCGAUACGGUGGAGAGCGCGCCAAUCAUGAUGGGCAUCUUGCCCUAAGGCACAAGGAUCUGAAACGUGUCGAUGUACGGCCUCCGGCACAAGCCACUGAGAAUGAUCCCGCACUUACGAGAUUUGGAUCUGAUGAUUAUUGUAGUGUUGAUAUCAUCUUGACUACAUCAGCUGUAAGAAAUGCAUUUUUUAUUUUACAGUCAAUCUCGCAGAGAUAAAUUCACAGUUUGAUAAGCUUUUUUCCUACACUUUUAUAUUACUCCGUUGAAUUUAAAAUCUGAUACUACUUUUCAAGCUCUUAGCCCAAUGUAGU